AGAAUCCACAUUAAUUAUCCCUAGUGUCAUGGGAUAAACACAUACCUUACAAAAUAAAGUUAGCACACCCUAUAAUGGUUCUAGCACGAUUACUAACCUAUGGCUCUAAUACUAGUUGAUGGGAAAAACCU
Vitis vinifera (wine grape) is the source of this 131-nucleotide microRNA precursor. It matches the Rfam family "MIR845_2 microRNA precursor family". The record is from Rfam. NCBI's taxonomy places the organism in Eukaryota, Viridiplantae, Streptophyta, Magnoliopsida, Vitales, Vitaceae.